This 440-nucleotide ribosomal RNA is filed under the name uncultured bacterium. RNAcentral's name for it is "partial 16S ribosomal RNA". It matches the Rfam family "Bacterial small subunit ribosomal RNA", at positions 338 to 795 of the family's 1533-position model. The record is from RNAcentral.
CCUACGGGAGGCAGCAGUGGGGGAUAUUGCACAAUGGGGGAAACCCUGAUGCAGCGACGCCGCGUGUGGGAAGACGGUCCUCUGGAUUGUAAACCACUGUCCCCAGGGACGAAGAUGACGGUACCUGGGGAGGAAGCUCCGGCUAACUACGUGCCAGCAGCCGCGGUAAUACGUAGGGAGCGAGGGUUGUCCGGAAUUACUGGGUGUAAAGGGAGCGUAGGCGGGACUGCAAGUUGGGUGUCAAAUCUACGGGCUCAACCGGUAGCCGCACUCAAAACUGCAGUUCUUGAGUGUAGUAGAGGCAGGCGGAAUUCCUAGUGUAGCGGUGAAAUGCGUAGAUAUUAGGAGGAACACCAGUGGCGAAGGCGGCCUGCUGGGCUUUUACUGACGCUGAGGCUCGAAAGUGUGGGGAGCAAACAGGAGUAGAUACCCUGGUAGUC